AUUGAACGCUGGCGGCAUGCCUUACACAUGCAAGUCGAACGGCAGCACGGGAGCAAUCCUGGUGGCGAGUGGCGAACGGGUGAGUAAUAUAUCGGAACGUGCCCAGUCGUGGGGGAUAACGUAGCGAAAGCUACGCUAAUACCGCAUACGAUCUAUGGAUGAAAGCGGGGGAUCGCAAGACCUCGCGCGAUUGGAGCGGCCGAUAUCAGAUUAGGUAGUUGGUGAGGUAAAGGCUCACCAAGCCGACGAUCUGUAGCUGGUUUGAGAGGACGACCAGCCACACUGGGACUGAGACACGGCCCAGAAUACGACGGGAGGCAGCAGUGGGGAAUUUUGGACAAUGGGCGCAAGCCUGUUCCAGCAAUGCCGCGUGCAGGAUGAAGGCCUUCGGGUUGUAAACUGCUUUUGUACGGAACGAAACGGCGAGCUCUAAUACAGUUUGCUAAUGACGGUACCGUAAGAAUAAGCACCGGCUAACUACGUGCCAGCAGCCGCCGUAA
Molecule: ribosomal RNA, 500 nt
Filed under: uncultured bacterium
Lineage: Bacteria
Description: partial 16S ribosomal RNA
Rfam family: Bacterial small subunit ribosomal RNA
Source: RNAcentral